AGAGGUAUGGCACAGUGGUAGAGCACCUGCCUGCCAAGCAAAAAGCCUUAAGUUCAAACCUUAGUAUCACAG
This 72-nucleotide transfer RNA is filed under the name Dipodomys ordii (Ord's kangaroo rat). It matches the Rfam family "tRNA". From Rfam's summary of the family: Transfer RNA (tRNA) molecules are approximately 80 nucleotides in length. Their secondary structure includes four short double-helical elements and three loops (D, anti-codon, and T loops). The record is from Rfam by way of RNAcentral. Lineage: Eukaryota; Metazoa; Chordata; Mammalia; Rodentia; Heteromyidae.